GGCCGCCUGGCGAAAUGGCAUCGCGUCUGACUACGAUGUGUAAUCAGGAGAUUGCAGGUUCGACCCCUGCGGUGGUCA
This is a transfer RNA of Fomitopsis pinicola, 78 nucleotides long. It matches the Rfam family "tRNA". Rfam says of the family: Transfer RNA (tRNA) molecules are approximately 80 nucleotides in length. Their secondary structure includes four short double-helical elements and three loops (D, anti-codon, and T loops). The record is from Rfam. Lineage: Eukaryota; Fungi; Basidiomycota; Agaricomycetes; Polyporales; Fomitopsidaceae.